CUAUAUUUUCAUUAUUAGUUUUAUUGAGAAAAACAAGAGACAUAUCGUGUAUGAUGCUCUACAGGCAUUGACAUUCAAGGGCAGAAUGUGGAAAGCCAAUAUGCACUGUGGCAUUGGGCUUUCCACAUGUGCGACAACAGAUUUCUAUAACAAGUCCUCCAUGUUGAAUGCGGUGAAUGUGACUAUUUCCACAAUGGCUACAUGCGUCACUAUGCUCGCAGUCACCAGGAAGUAGAUAUAUGUCUGCAAAUAGUAAGGAAUAAUUUAGAGCUGACAUUAUAAUGCAUCAUUGUAUUGUUCUUUAUCAUUAUAUUUGAUAAGAGUAUUUAAUAUUUACUAAAAUGUGAAAUUUAUUUUUAUUCAUUCAAUGCUUUCAGUAAAUUGUCACAUUCGAUUGAUGUGUUUGAGCUUUUGAUUUGCCAUUUGACUUUUUGUUGUGAAUUUUCCUCGGAGUUCAGUAUUUUUGUGAUUUUACUUUUUUGCACAGAAAUCGAACACAACCUUUAAGUUUGUCCUUCCGUAAGUAAACGCAUAAAUAAAUAUAUAAGAAAAAGACCAAUACAACAAUUGUUUAACAAAAUCAUUAGACCCAACUUUUUGAUGACAGAAGAAUGUGCAUCAAUGGUUAACAUUAUUUUAAAAUGCAUGCUGGACUUGUUGAGUUUUCCCUAGUGGAUUGGAGAAAAAUAUGAUUGAUUUUUUAUUUGUGUCUACAUGUCUUAUAUAUGGAAGGGUUAUGAUUUUAUGAAUCUAGUUUAUGUCAACGACAUGUUGAAUGGCCCUGUCCUCAACAGGAAAAGGAUCAAAUUGGUCAUUUGUGUUUACCUGUCUUUUGUUUUAUGUUGUAGUUAAAAUUAUAUACUUCGACAUUGUGCUGUGCCCUAGGAUUUGUUUGGUUCUAAUGAACGACCAAUUAUCUUUGAAGGGGGCUUGAUAAUAGUUAUUUUCUUAACAAACAAUUUUGAUUAAGAAAAAAGUAAGUUUCCAAUUUAACUUGAUUAUAGAUAUGAGCUUACCAUCCAGAAGGAAUUUCUUUUGUGGAAGAGAACUCACAUAAGCUAUAAGAACCAAGAGAGCAACUACGAACAAUUUCAUGUUUAGCCUGUA
RNAcentral lists this long non-coding RNA (1107 nucleotides) under Mytilus galloprovincialis (Mediterranean mussel). The record is from RNAcentral. Lineage: Eukaryota; Metazoa; Mollusca; Bivalvia; Mytilida; Mytilidae.